Molecule: long non-coding RNA, 422 nt
Filed under: Notechis scutatus (mainland tiger snake)
Lineage: Eukaryota; Metazoa; Chordata; Lepidosauria; Squamata; Elapidae
Description: lncRNA (ENSNSUG00000004926.1)
Source: RNAcentral
GAUGUUUUCCCCUCUGAAAUUCUUGGCCAGAUACAGGCAGAGGCUGCUCGACUGUUCAUAAGCUUGGAUCUCAAACAACAUCAGGUUCUUCGCCCUCUUCUCCCUGGAUUUCUUUCACGGCAGCUGGUUGGCUGAGAAAAGUGUUUUCCUUCAAGGCGAGGUUGUUGGGUUUUUUUGGAAACCUCCGUGCCUAACUCAUCACCAUGCAGCUUCUGCUGGGAGUUUUCUUCUUCUCCGUCCUCCUGGCUACAGGCAGUGCCUUGACUUGUGAAAUAUGCACCUCACAAGGUUCAGAUUGUACUGGUCAUACGCAAGAGUGUAAUUUUGACAAUGCUGUCUGCAUGACAUUGACGACUGAAUUAGGUGAGUAAGACAAGUUCUCUUUUCUUCCCAACAAGGGAAUAAAUAACGUGGAUUUUGCA